CGGGUUACCGAAUUCAGACAAACUCCGAAUGCCAAUUAAUUUAACUUGGGAGUCAGAACAUGGGUGAUAAGGUCCGUGUUCGAAAGGGAAACAGCCCAGACCACCAGCUAAGGUCCCAAAAUAUAUGUUAAGUGGAAAAGGAUGUGGCGUUGCCCAGACAACUAGGAUGUUGGCUUAGAAGCAGCCAUCAUUUAAAGAGUGCGUAAUAGCUCACUAGUCGAGUGACACUGCGCCGAAAAUGUACCGGGGCUAAACAUAUUACCGAAGCUGUGGAUUGUCCUUUGGACAAUGGUAGGAGAGCGUUCUAAGGGCGUUGAAGCAUGAUCGUAAGGACAUGUGGAGCGCUUAGAAGUGAGAAUGCCGGUGUGAGUAGCGAAAGACGGGUGAGAAUCCCGUCCACCGAUUGACUAAGGUUUCCAGAGGAAGGCUCGUCCGCUCUGGGUUAGUCGGGUCCUAAGCUGAGGCCGACAGGCGUAGGCGAUGGAUAACAGGUUGAUAUUCCUGUACCACCUAUAAUCGUUUUAAUCGAUGGGGGGACGCAGUAGGAUAGGCGAAGCGUGCGAUUGGAUUGCACGUCUAAGCAGUAAGGCUGAGUAUUAGGCAAAUCCGGUACUCGUUAAGGCUGAGC
This 628-nucleotide ribosomal RNA is filed under the name Staphylococcus aureus. RNAcentral's name for it is "partial 23S ribosomal RNA". It matches the Rfam family "Bacterial large subunit ribosomal RNA", at positions 932 to 1561 of the family's 2925-position model. The record is from RNAcentral. Lineage: Bacteria; Bacillati; Bacillota; Bacilli; Caryophanales; Staphylococcaceae.